This 253-nucleotide ribosomal RNA is filed under the name uncultured bacterium. RNAcentral describes it as "partial 16S ribosomal RNA". It matches the Rfam family "Bacterial small subunit ribosomal RNA", at positions 524 to 776 of the family's 1533-position model. The record is from RNAcentral.
UACAGGGGGGGCAAGCGUUGUUCGGAAUUACUGGGCGUAAAGGGCUUGUAGGUGGCCAAUUAAGUCAGACGUGAAAUCCCUCAGCUUAACUGGGGAACUGCGUCUGAAACUGGAUGGCUUGAGUUUGGGAGAGGGAUGCGGAAUUCCAGGUGUAGCGGUGAAAUGCGUAGAUAUCUGGAGGAACACCGGUGGCGAAGGCGGCAUCCUGGACCAACACUGACACUGAAAAGCGAAAGCCAGGGGAGCAAACGGG